UGGGAGGACCAUCUCCUAAGGCUAAAUACUCUCUAGUGACCGAUAGUGAACCAGUACCGUGAGGGAAAGGUGAAAAGCACCCCGGAAGGGGAGUGAAAUAGAACCUGAAACCGUGUGCUUACAAGUAGUCAGAGCCCGUUAAUGGGUGAUGGCGUGCCUUUUGUAGAAUGAACCGGCGAGUUACGAUUUGAUGCAAGGUUAAGCAGUAAAUGUGGAGCCGUAGCGAAAGCGAGUCUGAAUAGGGCGUUUAGUAUUUGGUCGUAGACCCGAAACCAGGUGAUCUACCCUUGGUCAGGUUGAAGUUCAGGUAACACUGAAUGGAGGACCGAACCGACUUACGUUGAAAAGUGAGCGGAUGAACUGAGGGUAGCGGAGAAAUUCCAAUCGAACCUGGAGAUAGCUGGUUCUCUCCGAAAUAGCUUUAGGGCUAGCCUCAAGUGAUGAUUAUUGGAGGUAGAGCACUGUUUGGACGAGGGGCCCCUCUCGGGUUACCGAAUUCAGACAAACUCCGAAUGCCAAUUAAUUUAACUUGGGAGUCAGAACAUGGGUGAUAAGGUCCGUGUUCGAAAGGGAAACAGCCCAGACCACCAGCUAAGGUCCCAAAAUAUAUGUUAAGUGGAAAAGGAUGUGGCGUUGCCCAGACAACUAGGAUGUUGGCUUAGAAGCAGCCAUCAUUUAAAGAGUGCGUAAUAGCUCACUAGUCGAGUGACACUGCGCCGAAAAUGUACCGGGGCUAAACAUAUUACCGAAGCUGUGGAUUGUCCUUUGGACAAUGGUAGGAGAGCGUUCUAAGGGCGUUGAAGCAUGAUCGUAAGGACAUGUGGAGCGCUUAGAAGUGAGAAUGCCGGUGUGAGUAGCGAAAGACGGGUGAGAAUCCCGUCCACCGAUUGACUAAGGUUUCCAGAGGAAGGCUCGUCCGCUCUGGGUUAGUCGGGUCCUAAGCUGAGGCCGACAGGCGUAGGCGAUGGAUAACAGGUUGAUAUUCCUGUACCACCUAUAAUCGUUUUAAUCGAUGGGGGGACGCAGUAGGAUAGGCGAAGCGUGCGAUUGGAUUGCACGUCUAAGCAGUAAGGCUGAGUAUUAGGCAAAUCCGGUACUCGUUAAGGCUGA
RNAcentral lists this ribosomal RNA (1110 nucleotides) under Staphylococcus aureus. RNAcentral describes it as "partial 23S ribosomal RNA". It matches the Rfam family "Bacterial large subunit ribosomal RNA", at positions 445 to 1559 of the family's 2925-position model. Lineage: Bacteria; Bacillati; Bacillota; Bacilli; Caryophanales; Staphylococcaceae. The record is from RNAcentral.